Non-coding RNA from Microcebus murinus (gray mouse lemur), 259 nucleotides. The record is from RefSeq and is a predicted model, not a curated record. NCBI's taxonomy places the organism in Eukaryota, Metazoa, Chordata, Mammalia, Primates, Cheirogaleidae.
CUGAAAUGCUGAUUAAGAAAUUCCAGUUCUAUCUAGGUCUCCUGGGCUGUGACUCGGAGGAGCUGUCACUAAGGGUCCCAGUGUCUUGCCUCAUUUGAAGUUGCUCUUGCGAAUCCAAUCUUUCUCCAUCCUUUGGCAGAUGCUCAUUGACCACUCAGGCCAUGGCGAGCAUUGUUCCAGGUCCGGUUGCAGAUGGCGCCAUGAAGCUGUUUUCUGUAUAGCCCGGAUCAGAGACAUCUCCCGUGUCUCACUGCAUCAU